UUCCUGGAGGACUAGUGGUUAGGCCACGGCGCUCUCACCGCUGUGGCCGGGGUUCGAUUCCUGGCCAGGGAA
RNAcentral lists this transfer RNA (72 nucleotides) under Pangasius djambal. RNAcentral describes it as "tRNA-Glu". It matches the Rfam family "tRNA". From Rfam's summary of the family: Transfer RNA (tRNA) molecules are approximately 80 nucleotides in length. Their secondary structure includes four short double-helical elements and three loops (D, anti-codon, and T loops). The record is from RNAcentral. Lineage: Eukaryota; Metazoa; Chordata; Actinopteri; Siluriformes; Pangasiidae.